RNAcentral lists this transfer RNA (82 nucleotides) under Colletotrichum lupini. It matches the Rfam family "tRNA". Rfam says of the family: Transfer RNA (tRNA) molecules are approximately 80 nucleotides in length. Lineage: Eukaryota; Fungi; Ascomycota; Sordariomycetes; Glomerellales; Glomerellaceae. The record is from Rfam by way of RNAcentral.
GGCCGGUUGGCCCAAUGGCAAGGCGUCUGACUACGACUCAUCAGUUAUCAGGAGAUUCUGGGUUCGACCCCCAGGCUGGUCA